CAUGAUUUACAUUCAUUUUAUAAAAAAAUACAAGUUUAUACUAUGAUAACCGUCAUGGUCCUCCAAGGAUAUGGGAAUAAAAAAUAUACAAGCAAUAAUUCAAUGAAAUUAAUAAAAACAAAAACUGUUUGGAAUUCUUUGGCUUUCGUCAUAAUCCCGCAUCUCCUAAACAUAGUCUUUGUAGAAGGAAACUGAAUAUUUGAAACACCUAUUAGUCAUUGAUUUUAUUCAAAUGCAAACUAGCAUUAUUUUGGUAAGGACUGGAACCCCAUCUUCACUGAUUAUGGCCUCCUCGGCUCGCAUUUAGUGACAACCUCAGCAAUCAGCGAGUUGCUAUUUUAAUUCAACUUGGUGCCCAGUUCAUGCCCAUUCAAAACAACAUUGCUUUAAAUUGAAAUAGCAAGAUGACAAUUCAUUAGAUUACAAAGUUGGAAAGCUUUCAUUACAAAUUAACUAGAACUUGUAAUUUCAUUACAUUAAACAAAUUCAUUACAAGAAAACUACAACUACAUUACAAACAACAAAACCCACAACAUGAAAGAAAAAAGUAAAAUCGAGUACUCCACUUUUUUCUUCGGUCUUUUAUUCUUCAAUGUCAUCUCCUCAAUUUUUUCCACAAGCUCUUGAUUUUUCUUUUCUACAAUAGCUUUGUCAUUUUUGGCAUUGACAAUAACAAUAGUCAGCUCGUUAAGUCUUUUAUUCAAAAUUUCUAUUUCAGAUUUCAAUUCAUUGUUUUCGCGAUAAUACUGAGCAAUUCUUGUGCCGGUGAUAUUGGUGGAUCAAUCCAUUCAAACGAUUCACAUGGUAUUGUUUUAUAAUUUGUGCAACUAACAAAUCGUCGCCCGUGAUUUAUUUUGGUCCUUGAAACCUUCACAGGUGAAGGAACUCCACAUUUGCAACUACGUGAUGAUCUCCCUGAUGAAUUUGUGCUCAUAACUGGUGAGAGCAAAUUAAUUAGGAUUAAUACGUCGCCAACAUAAAUUCAGUUAACUAAUUAGUCAAAGCAACAAUGUUAAUUAAUUAUAAUCAAACGGAUACAUGAAAAAAUCACAUCUUUAAGUGAAGGAGACCAAGAUUUGAUUUGUAUUAUAUACAAUGAAGAAUAUGAUAUUUGAAGAAUGCUACAAAAAGUACAUAACAAGUUUGAAGCACAAAUUACAGAUGAGUACUGCGAAGAGAAGUGAAAAUGUCAACGCCAACACUAGUUAUCCAAAAUUCAGUGUAAUCAUAUACAACCACCUAAAACUAUUUGAAAAAGAAUCAAGUUCCAUUUUAUGUUUACACAAUCCAAUAAUUUUAAGCCUCAAGUAUGCAGAAGUGACUAAAUGAACUUGAUAAUAACCAAACUGUUAUAUUAAGCCUGCAGCAGUAACAACAACAAUUUUUUGCAAAUGAUGUGACACGGGUCCAAAUCAGAGCGUAAAGACCAAAUCGGAGCUUAAAGACCAAAUCAAAAACAAACAUAUCUUCAAAUGAACUCUGAGAUCAGUUAUCCCACUCCUAUAUAUGAUGAACAUUGUUAACAAUAGAACUUAAAAGCUUGUUUCUUACCUCUAAUAAACUCCAUAGCUUCAUUCAAGAACAAUUUGCUUUAUCUAGUCAAUCACACUAAGAUGAGCCCACAAGAAAAGUGUAAUUUGGGCAUCACAUAAAAAUUACAUACUGAACACAUACUGAAUAGCGAAACUUCAAGAAAGAUUCAACUUGCUUGAUUCAACUUAUGCGAAAGGAAAAACAUAUUACAUACACAUACCUGGACGCGAUUCUCAGUGGAGAGAAGAGAGAAACUAGGGCACGGUCGCGAUUCUCAAAUCAAAUCUUGGUCUCCUUCACUUUUUAAUCUACGAUUCAGAGAGAAGCGACAAGAGAAAAGCUAGGGAUUUGACUCUGCUUGGAGUGUCUGCGAUUUUCUUGCCCUAACUCCUAAAUAGCGAAUCUCAGUGUCUCCUAAAUCGCGAUUCUCAGUGUCUCCUAUUACGCGAAUCUUAGAGAAGCAUUUGGAGAGAAGAGAAGUUAGGGCUUCCGAUUUGGAGAGAGGAGAGAAAGCAAAUGAAAGCCAGGGAUUUCGAUUUGGGUUUUUUAUCUCAGACGCGGAAGGAAGGCUUUGAAGAUACUCGUUUGUUAGCUUCUUAAAUAGUUAUGUUACUUAAGGAAUUUAUGUUACUUAAAA
This 2170-nucleotide long non-coding RNA is filed under the name Panax ginseng (ginseng). RNAcentral's name for it is "long non-coding RNA (PGIN_LNC006264)". The record is from RNAcentral. Lineage: Eukaryota; Viridiplantae; Streptophyta; Magnoliopsida; Apiales; Araliaceae.